This 325-nucleotide ribosomal RNA is filed under the name uncultured eukaryote. Its description in RNAcentral is "partial 18S ribosomal RNA". It matches the Rfam family "Eukaryotic small subunit ribosomal RNA", at positions 1470 to 1796 of the family's 1831-position model. The record is from RNAcentral.
CCCUUAGAUGUUCUGGGCCGCACGCGCGCUACACUGACUGGUGCAACAAGUGUCGCUCCUUGGCCGAUAGGCCUGGGCAAUCUUUGAACGCCAGUCGUGAUGGGGAUAGAUUCUUGCAAUUUUUGAUCUUCAACGAGGAAUUCCUAGUAAACACGAGUCAUCAACUCGCAUUGAUUACGUCCCUGCCCUUUGUACACACCGCCCGUCGCACCUACCGAUUGAAUGGUCCGGUGAACCCUCCGGAUCGGCCCGCGCCAACGCAAGUUGAGCAAAGGCCGAGAAGUUGGGUAAACCUUACCAUUUAGAGGAAGGUGAAGUCGUAACA